Transfer RNA from Toxocara canis (dog roundworm), 72 nucleotides. It matches the Rfam family "tRNA". From Rfam's summary of the family: Transfer RNA (tRNA) molecules are approximately 80 nucleotides in length. Their secondary structure includes four short double-helical elements and three loops (D, anti-codon, and T loops). The record is from Rfam. NCBI's taxonomy places the organism in Eukaryota, Metazoa, Nematoda, Chromadorea, Rhabditida, Toxocaridae.
GUGGCAGUAGCUCAGCGGUAGAGCCUUCGCCUGGUAUGCGAAGAAACCCGGGUUAGACUCCCAACUGCUUCU